GAUUAACGCUGGCGGCGUGCAUAACACAUGCCAGUCGAACGAUGAAACUUAAAUGAUUUCUUCGGAAUGAACUUAAGUGAAUUAGUGGCGGACGGGUGAGUAACGCGUGAGUAACCUGCCUUACACAAGGGGAUAGCCGUUGGAAACGACGAAUAAUACCCUAUGAAACUAUCACUUCGCAUGAAGCGAUAGUCAAAGUGUUAGCGGUGUAAGAUGGACUUGCGUCUGAUUAGCUAGUUGGUGAGAAAAAAGCCCACCAAGGCAACGAUCAGUAACCGGCACGAGAGAGUGGACGGCCACAUUGGGACUGAGACACGGCCCAGACACCUACGGGAGGCAGCAGUGGGGAAUUAUGCACAAUGGGGGAAACCAGGAUGCAGCGACGCCGCGUGAUUUAGAAGGCCUUCGGGUUGUAAAAAUCUUUUGUAUAGGAAGAAAAUGACAGUACUAUAAGAAUAAGGACCGGCUAAUUACGUG
This 477-nucleotide ribosomal RNA is filed under the name uncultured bacterium. RNAcentral describes it as "partial 16S ribosomal RNA". It matches the Rfam family "Bacterial small subunit ribosomal RNA", at positions 28 to 507 of the family's 1533-position model. The record is from RNAcentral.